UACGUAGGGUCCGAGCGUUGUCCGGAAUUAUUGGGCGUAAAGGGCUCGUAGGCGGUUUGUUGCGUCGGGAGUGAAAACUUACAGCUUAACUGUGAGCGUGCUUCCGAUACGGGCAGACUUGAGGUAUUCAGGGGAGAACGGAAUUCCUGGUGUAGCGGUGAAAUGCGUAGAUAUCAGGAGGAACACCGAUGGCGAAGGCAGGUCUCUGGGCUGACACUGACGCUCAUGCACGAAAGCGUGGGGAGCAAACAGG
This 253-nucleotide ribosomal RNA is filed under the name uncultured bacterium. RNAcentral's name for it is "partial 16S ribosomal RNA". It matches the Rfam family "Bacterial small subunit ribosomal RNA", at positions 524 to 776 of the family's 1533-position model. The record is from RNAcentral.